GGGGGCGACUGACAAGCGACCCUACCUGUUACACCUGAAGGGAGAACUACUUGUUACACCUGAAGGGAGAACUUAGUAAUAGUAACUCACAGCUCUCGACAAGAGCAGAGGGAAGAACGGGUGUGUAUCUCUUGGAUGCAUGAUCAUGGUGAUAUCUAUGAAACACAUAUAGGCAUCGAGAGAGGAAGACGACAACCAGAAAAGACUACCAGGAAUUUCACUUUGACACAAAGCAGUGUCAAAUUCGCACCCUUUUUGUCCCUGCAUUAUCGAUCAUGGAUUAUGCCCCGGGUGUAGGCCGCUGUCUGCUAUCCUUUGUCCUUGCCAUCAUAUUAAGUGCCACCGGCAUCAUCCUCUUCCUCAUCGGCAUCUUUGUUCCCUUCAGCUUCUGGGACAUCUUCAUCUUCUCGGGCCCCCUCCUCGUCUUUCUCAGUCUGGUGUUCUGGAUCCUCUGGUAUCUGGGGAACAUUGAGGUGUCCGUUGAUGAGCUUCUCCCUAAGGGUGGCCCAAAUGGAAUUUAAAUGUAAAUAUAGGAACUUUUCAACUGACAGACAUACAAACAUUUGACAUACAGACAUUUGACAUUGUCAAGAAGGAAAAAAGACCUUUACAUCCGGGUGCCAUUUUUUGGAUAAUAUUUGGAGUGGCAGUUUAUCAUUGGAACCAUCCUUGAAAAAGAGCCUUGAGACUGUCUUGUAACUACCUGCAACAGGAGUGUUUAUCCUGUAAGCGUGUGUGGAGUUUCUGCAGUUCCUGUUGCGUAAGCUAGCUCCUUACCUACAUUCGCUACAAGUUGGAUUCAUAUUCCUCUCUCUGGAACAUUUGAUCACUUAAUGCUUGAAGGAUAAAUAAAAGAAUUCCUCAACUUCUGGAACCUUAAGUAUUAGAGUACACAACCAGAUAAUAUGUAAAAUUGUUGUUCAUAGCUGUAGAAAAAGUGUCACUUCUGUUUCAUGUAAUCAAUCCUCGCUAAAGACCUUACUCACUGACUAAUGGAUGCUUCAGUGCAGGGGCGUCGUUAGACCCUUUUUACUGAGGCACGUGCCCCAGUAUAAAUCUGCUGUGCCCCAGUAAAAUCUAAGGUUUGAGUUUUAACAAUUUACUUUAUUAGUCAGUGCAUUCAAUUAGAUUGAUAAUCCCGGAAAAAACAAGUCCAGUAUCCCAAUCAACCAUAAGCACUCGUAAGGAAGGGUAGAAGUUGGUUUGGGCUCAGUAUGUCAGUUUAAGCUAUUACAUGCCUAUCCUCUGGGUGUUGUCCUGAUGGAAAAUCUGAGUAUUUGUUUGCUCAAACACUCAUCAGAAACCAGCCACACUCGGAGUCCCACAUAUCUGCCCUCACUCGAGAUCAAGAGAUGAACUGUUUCCCCACCACCUUCACAAGGCCAUGGUGGUGUUCCUCCCAAAGAAAGAGGAACAAGUGUUCCAAGUGCAUUCAUGGCCAAGUUGUUGAGCUUGCCUUAUCGUGAUCAAGCCUUCAUGAAACUGCCCUUGCUUGUAGCCGAGAAUGUGACACAGCAGGUUUGUCAGCACAGACACACCCAAACACUGUGGGUUGAAAUUCAAGCCACUUCAUAAUAAUCCCUGCACUCAAACAAUAAAAGCCGGAUGAAUGUAUCUAGGCUAGUUCCAGCAACGUACUAAUAAAACAAUUGUGGAUAUCAGGUGUUCUGGUCACAACCGCCUUCCUCAAAUAGAAAUGGAGGGCUUGUCAGGUUGCUGCAUAGGCAACAUUUCUGUCAAUCUACUGCCUAGCAUAACUGUGCACUUCUGAUCCUUGAUUUAUGCUGUGCAACUUCCUAUAGGCAGAAUGAGUUUGUCACUUUGGAUGAAAAGAACGUGUUCAAUAAAUAAAAUGUUAAAUUAAGUUUAUUAAUCCCCAGUUGGGUAUAAUGUUUCUUUACUGUGUGUUUGUCCGGCCUGCUUUGCUUUACUAAUUCAACACCUCGCCAACCUCCUUAAGACACCUGCAUCACAUCGUCAGCUCACCAGAAAGGUGUCGAAAUCCCACUUCUCGUUCUCCGGUUUCUACACACCUUGGUUGUCUUUCCAGUAUGCGGUGCCAACCAGGUUUGCGGCCGGCGACAGAGACACAAUGGGCGAGCUGAACCCGACACCUCACGGCGUUCACCGUGGUGACACAUGGGGGCCAGGAUUAAGUUCUACCUGACACAGUAAACCUGUUUGGGCCCGACCCCAACAUCAACGGUUCUGCCAGAGGCGGACGCCCUAAUGACCGCAAGAGGGCCCAGGGGGAAUGGUGUUUACGGGAUCUAGACGGAACCUCUUUUCCUGCCAGAUUCCUGCCGCUAGCCGGAUAAAGGGGAGUGUGAUUGAGUGAAACUCUAGUUAAAAGGCUGUAACUGGGAGUUUAUUUGCAGUUGUUGUAGGCCAAAGUAUCACAGUGCUUUGGAUAAGAGCGUCUGCUAAAUGACUAAAUGUAAAAUGUAAUGCUUUAUCAUUACAGAACGAGGACUGUUUAACAGUGACUGGCGUUAAUUAUAUAUGUGAACUAUAUUACAUUAAAAUAUUUUUAUUGCG
This is a long non-coding RNA of Hypomesus transpacificus, 2538 nucleotides long. RefSeq lists it as uncharacterized. The record is from RefSeq and is a predicted model, not a curated record. The transcript has 2 exons. Lineage: Eukaryota; Metazoa; Chordata; Actinopteri; Osmeriformes; Osmeridae.